UUGGACGACACAAAACGUAAGGAGCAUCGUCGAGUGGCUCUGGCUUCGUUUGAGGGAAAUAUAAACGUGAAACCUAAAUUCACAAAGGACACAACCCUUGGCCUGGGGACCGUCGGACGACUGGGUGUCCAGAGAGAAUGGUGGCGAGCAGGGCACCGUGUCCCUCACCUAGAGACACAGCCAGUCCCCUAGUGACCCGCCGGGUUCCGCGGGCACCACGUGGUCAGUGGGGUCACAGGACAGAGCCCCACCGGGGUCAUUUAGGGUUGUAUCCAGUCCUGUGUUUUUACAAACGGCUGCUAUGGAGUCCUCACAGCUGGAGUCAGAGCGACUGAUUGACCCAGAGACAGUGCCGUCCGUCUCUUACUGUGACCGUGUCUCCUCGGACCCACUUCCUUUUCCUAAGUGUCAGCUGGCAACAGAGUCAAACUCAUAGGGCCCUCGUGAGGACCCGCGUCAAGUGCCCGGCUUGCUGCCUCAUGUAUAGUAAGCUCUCGACAAAUACGAACCACUCUCACUUCCCAACUUUAUCUGCAUCUGAGUUUCUCUGCAGCAUGAGGUCCAACCCGCGGAGCUACCUGGCCGGGGCCGGGUUUUGUUUGUUUUUAAGUAAGAAAAUUGGAUAAUCAACAAAGUGCAGGAAAUAAAUUAGCGUGUAAGAUGAGCAUUAAUAAGCAAUGUAUGUUUAUAAUUGGAAAAGAGAAGUUUAAAAAAGUGAAUUAGCCUAAAAGCAAGAUAGUGUCCCCUUUUUUCCAAAUAUGGUAAAGCUAUAGCAGCUACAGAUUUAACGGAAGUAAAACAACCUGUUAUUGGGAAGUCACAGAUGCCUUGGUUUUGGACUUUGUUGGCUUUUAAAAAUGAAACGGCUGUCCUUUUUAUUUCCCAUUCCAUGUUACAUACUGACUACUCUCAAAUAGCUACUUAAAGGAUCCCAAUCAGAAUAUUUUAAUAAUAAAAUAAUCUUCAUGGG
Molecule: long non-coding RNA, 970 nt
Organism: Miniopterus natalensis
Lineage: Eukaryota; Metazoa; Chordata; Mammalia; Chiroptera; Miniopteridae
Source: RefSeq, a predicted model, not a curated record